RNAcentral lists this ribosomal RNA (1652 nucleotides) under Clostridioides difficile. Its description in RNAcentral is "partial 23S ribosomal RNA". It matches the Rfam family "Bacterial large subunit ribosomal RNA", at positions 1242 to 2906 of the family's 2925-position model. The record is from RNAcentral. Lineage: Bacteria; Bacillati; Bacillota; Clostridia; Peptostreptococcales; Peptostreptococcaceae.
CAUACGGGUUGAAGCAUGACCGUAAGGACAUGUGGACAGUAUGGGAGUGAGAAUGUUGGCAUGAGUAGCGAGAUGUGGGUGAGAAUCCCACAGGCCGUAAACCCAAGGUUUCCAGGGGAAGGUUCGUCCGCCCUGGGUUAGUCGGGACCUAAGCUGAGGCCGAAAGGCGUAGGUGAUGGACAACAGGUUGAUAUUCCUGUACUACCGAUAACCGUUUGAGAGAAGGGAUGACACAGUAGGAUAAGCUAAGCACACUGUUGGUUAUGUGUGCCCAAGCAUUGAGGCAGUCAAAGCAGGCAAAUCCGCUUUGAUAAUGCUGGGAUGUGAUGGGGAGCGAAAUUUAGUAGCGAAGUAGCUGAUUUCACACUGUCAAGAAAAGUCUCUAUCGAGGUUAAAGGUACCCGUACCGCAAACCGACACAGGUGGGUGAGGAGAGUAUCCUAAGGCCAGCGAGAGAACUGUUGUUAAGGAACUCGGCAAAAUGACCCCGUAACUUAGGGAUAAGGGGUGCCACCAUCCGGUGGCCGCAGAGAAUAGGCCCAAGCGACUGUUUACCAAAAACAUAGGUUUCUGCUAAGUCGCAAGACGAUGUAUAGGAGCUGACGCCUGCCCGGUGCUGGAAGGUUAAGGGGAUCUGUUAGAGCAAUCGAAGCAGUGAACUUAAGCCCCAGUAAACGGCGGCCGUAACUAUAACGGUCCUAAGGUAGCGAAAUUCCUUGUCGGGUAAGUUCCGACCCGCACGAAAGGCGUAACGAUUUGGGCACUGUCUCAACAACAGACUCGGUGAAAUUGUAAUUCCGGUGAAGAUGCCGGAUACCUGCGACAGGACGGAAAGACCCCAUGGAGCUUUACUGUAGCUUGACAUUGGGUCUUGGUACUACAUGUACAGGAUAGGUGGGAGGCUUUGAAACCAGGACGCCAGUUUUGGCGGAGCCAUCCUUGGGAUACCACCCUUGUAGUACUGGGACUCUAACCAUAGGCCAUGAAUCUGGUCUUGGGACACUGUCAGGUGGGCAGUUUGACUGGGGCGGUCGCCUCCCAAAAGGUAACGGAGGCGCUCAAAGGUUCUCUCAGUACGGUCGGAAAUCGUACGUAGAGUGUAAAGGCAAAAGAGAGCUUGAUUGCAAGACAUACAGGUCGAGCAAGGAUGAAAAUCGGACUUAGUGAUCCGGUGGUUCUGCGUGGAAGGGCCAUCGCUCAACGGAUAAAAGCUACCCUGGGGAUAACAGGCUUAUCUCCCCCAAGAGUCCACAUCGACGGGGAGGUUUGGCACCUCGAUGUCGGCUCAUCACAUCCUGGGGCUGUAGUAGGUCCCAAGGGUUGGGCUGUUCGCCCAUUAAAGUGGUACGCGAGCUGGGUUCAGAACGUCGUGAGACAGUUCGGUCCCUAUCCGUCGCAGGCGUAGGAAAUUUGAGAAGACCUGUCCUUAGUACGAGAGGACCGGGAUGGACGUACCUCUGGUGUACCAGUUGUUCUGCCAAGGGCAUGGCUGGGUAGCUAUGUACGGAAUGGAUAAGCGCUGAAAGCAUCUAAGCGCGAAGCCAACUUCAAGAUAAGAUUUCCCACCGCAAGGGUAAGACCCCAGAAAGACUAUCUGGUUGAUAGGUCGAAGGUGUAAGUGCAGCAAUGUAUUUAGCUUAUCGAUACUAAUA